This 292-nucleotide long non-coding RNA is filed under the name Parus major (Great Tit). RNAcentral's name for it is "lncRNA (ENSPMJG00000007440.1)". The record is from RNAcentral. Lineage: Eukaryota; Metazoa; Chordata; Aves; Passeriformes; Paridae.
AGAGUUUGUAUCUUUUAAAACGCACAUAAAAUGCCUGGAAGUUGCUUUUCCGCUUGAUUUUCUCGGAAUGAUGUAUUUUCCCCAAUGCAGGUGCUGUCAUCUGUCUGAAUUAGCAUUGUCAGGCUCAAACACCCCCAAAGGAAACGCUUUCUGCAGUGACCCAGGCAACUCUGAGGGGCAGUCUGGAACAGAAUGAGAAAAAGCAGGUAGUGUAUGACCAUGCCUUUUGGUCAAGCAAUCUCAGCUUCCCACUAUAAUGGAUAGGGAACAUACCCUGGAAAUUCUACCUCAC